GGCCCUAUAGUGUAUGUCACAUAUCGAAUUGCAAAUUCGGAGAAGCAAUUUUAAACUUGCUGGGGCUU
This 68-nucleotide transfer RNA is filed under the name Casinycteris ophiodon (Pohle's fruit bat). RNAcentral's name for it is "tRNA-Cys". The record is from RNAcentral. Lineage: Eukaryota; Metazoa; Chordata; Mammalia; Chiroptera; Pteropodidae.